AUUGAACGCUGGCGGCAUGCCUUACACAUGCAAGUCGAACGGCAGCACGGGUGCUUGCACCUGGUGGCGAGUGGCGAACGGGUGAGUAAUACAUCGGAACAUGUCCUGUAGUGGGGGAUAGCCCGGCGAAAGCCGGAUUAAUACCGCAUACGAUCUACGGAUGAAAGCGGGGGACCUUCGGGCCUCGCGCUAUAGGGUUGGCCGAUGGCUGAUUAGCUAGUUGGUGGGGUAAAGGCCUACCAAGGCGACGAUCAGUAGCUGGUCUGAGAGGACGACCAGCCACGGGGGGUGAGAGACCGGGCCGAGACCCCUGGGGGGGGAGGCGGGGGGGAUUUUGGGAAAAGGGGGAAAUGCGUGACCAAGAAUGGCCGGGUGUGGGAAGAAGCCUUGGGGUUGAAAAAGCGUUUUUGCCGGGAAAGAAAUCUUGGGUUUUAACAAGGGGGGGGGAGGACGGUACGGAAAAAAUAAGCCCGGGCUAACUCCGUG
This 486-nucleotide ribosomal RNA is filed under the name uncultured bacterium. Its description in RNAcentral is "partial 16S ribosomal RNA". It matches the Rfam family "Bacterial small subunit ribosomal RNA", at positions 29 to 507 of the family's 1533-position model. The record is from RNAcentral.